CGUAGAUUUCGCAAUACGUAGAUGACUCAUGAAACGCAAUUCCGCUGCAUUCUUUGUCUUCUUCAUUCUCUCAAUCUCCUCGAUCUUCAUCUAUCAAUUCUUUCUUUUCUUAUAGACUAGAUUCUACUCUCUUUCUCUCUCUCUGUUUUUUCUUCCUCUCCCUUGUCUUUUGCCCCUCCGGCAUACACACUUUUCAACUCCGGGUAUUCAUCCUAAAUACAUAAUUCACAAUGGGGAGGAAGAAGAGGGGACUAGCCAAAGGGAGGGCUUCCAGAAUCGGCGGCUAUGCAGCUGCCUCUUCAAUCUCCGAUCCCAAUUCCGUUUCUUGCACAACUUUCAAUAUCCUUGCUCCCAUUUACAAAAGGCUCUGUAACGAGGACCCCAGUGUUAGAGAAAGCCAUUUCAGGGGAUUUUGGUUGGACAGGAACGAAAGAAUCUUGGAAUGGUUAUUGUAUGAAAGAUCUUCCAUCAUUUGUCUUCAGGAAUUUUGGGUUGGAAAUGAAGAGCUUGUUGAUCUCUAUGACAAGAAACUAGGUGAUGCUGGAUAUCUUACUUUUAAGCUUGCCAGAACUAACAACCGGGGUGAUGGUCUGUUGACUGCUGUACAUAAGGAUUACUUCAGUGUUAUAAGCCACCAAGAGUUGCUUUUCAAUGAUUUUGGAGACCGUGUUGCACAGUUAUUACACGUUGAGCUAGUAUUACCCUGCUCGCCGUGUCGAAAUGUUAAUGUUAGAAAAGAAAUUCUUAUAGUCAACACACACUUGCUGUUCCCGCACGAUUCAAGUAUUUGCUUGGAACGUCUGCGACAGGUCUACAAAAUAUUGCAAUAUGUGGAAUCAUAUCAAAAGGAAAAUAAGCUUAACCCUUUGCCAAUUAUACUCUGCGGGGAUUGGAAUGGAAGUAAACGGGGUCAUGUUUACAAGUUCCUUAGAUCUCAGGGAUUUAUAUCAUCCUAUGAUACUGCACACCAGUACGCUGAUGCAGAUGCACAGAAGUGGGUGAGCCAUCGGAAUCACCGAGGGAACAUCUGUGGUGUGGAUUUUAUAUGGCUUCUUAAUCCUAACAAGUACAGGAAGUUGCUGAAAACGAGUUGGAGUCAGGCAAUCUUUGGAAUGUUUAAGUAUCAACUCCGUCGUGCCUCUUUGACAGAAGAGGAUGCAUUUGCCUUUCUGAAGGCUGAUAGCAGUGAUGAUUAUAUUUCAUACUCCGAUUUCUGUGAAGCUUUGCGGCAGCUUAGUUUGAUCGGCAAUCGCAAUGGGCUGAGUAUUCAGGAGAUUAAUGAUUUGUGGGUGCAAGCAGAUAUGGAUGGAAACGGUGUUGUUGAUUACAAAGAAUUCAAGCAACGGAUAUGGAACCCGACAUGGUCAGAACAAAGAGACGACCAAUGGGACGACAGCGAAAACGCCAUAGAUGAAGCCAUCGGGUUUAGCAUCCAGGACGCGGUUCUUUUCCCCAAGGAAGUAGAGAAAGGGAAGUGGCCUGAAGAAUAUUCUCUCUCUGAUCAUGCCAAACUAACUGUUGUAUUUUCACCAGCUUGAUUGAUGCUGCCUGCGAGCUUUGGUUGUGAGCUUAUGACCAUUCCUUCAAAUUCCCAAAUCUUCACCAGAGAUUGAGAGGGGUUAUCAUACUCCUUUAGGAGAUUGAACGGUGGAGAUUGUUGUGGCGUGAGGUGCCUUCCGGUCUGUGGAGGCAGGAGGCCAGCCAUCAUGCAUGAAAGCAUCUCAAGUCGGGGGACGAGUAUAUGAUUUGGAUCAGCGUCUACGAACGUUUAAGUUUCGUUAUUAGUAGAAAAUUGGUUAAUCGUGAAUUCAAGAUAAAGUUAACUGUAGUAUAAUAUUUGGUAUACCUAACAUCUUUCUUCAUUGGUUAACAAGACCUUAGACGUAUUCAUUCCAAACAAAUGAAUUUGUUCGAUACUU
Ipomoea nil (Japanese morning glory) is the source of this 1919-nucleotide RNA transcript. RefSeq lists it as uncharacterized. The transcript has 12 exons. The record is from RefSeq and is a predicted model, not a curated record. Lineage: Eukaryota; Viridiplantae; Streptophyta; Magnoliopsida; Solanales; Convolvulaceae.